UUCGAACCUGAUUUGAAGCGAUGAAAGGGCUUGAUCUACUACUAUAUAUAAGAAGUAAGUAACUCGUAAGGAUUCUUCAGUUGAUUGAGUUGGCUCUUCACUUUCACUCUCAUCAAAUUGUUUCUUUCUACGAAUUAUGCAUUUUUCAACAAAUAUAGGCUCUAUUCCCAUUGCACUUGCAAUUUCUUUAGCUUCAAUCAAUGCCUCCCUAAAACCUUCUUCUCUGUACCUUUCAAGAUAAGUGAUAAGCCUUUUUAUUUGCUCCAUAGCAACAUCAA
This 278-nucleotide long non-coding RNA is filed under the name Actinidia chinensis (golden kiwifruit). RNAcentral's name for it is "long non-coding RNA (ACHI_LNC003810)". The record is from RNAcentral. Lineage: Eukaryota; Viridiplantae; Streptophyta; Magnoliopsida; Ericales; Actinidiaceae.